AUUAGCUUGUUGGUAGGGUAACGGCCUACCAAGGCUACGAUCAGUAGGGGUUCUGAGAGGAUUAACCCCCACACUGGUACUGAGACACGGACCAGACUCCUACGGGAGGCAGCAGUGAGGAAUAUUGGUCAAUGGGCGGAAGCCUGAACCAGCCAUCCCGCGUGAAGGAAGACAGCCUUACGGGUUGUAAACUUCUUUUCUGUCAGAAGAAUAAGCUUGUCGAGACGAGUGAUGCCGGUAUGACAGGAAUAAGCAUCGGCUAACUCCGUGCCAGCAGCCGCGGUAAUACGGAGGAUGCAAGCGUUAUCCGGAUUUAUUGGGUUUAAAGGGUGCGCAGGUUGUUUGAUAAGUCAGUGGUGAAAGUCUGUCGCUUAACGGUAGGAUUGCCACUGAUACUGUUGGACUUGAAUAUGGAUGAGGUAGGCGGAAUGUGUAGUGUAGCGGUGAAAUGCAUAGAUAUUACACAGAACACCGAUUGCGAAGGCAGCUUACUAAUCCAUCAUUGACGCUGAGGCACGAAAGCGUGGGGAUCAAACAGGAUUAGAUACCCUGGUAGUCCACGCCGUAAACGAUGAUCACUCGCUGUUUGCGAUAUACAGUAAGCGGCUAAGCGAAAGCGUUAA
RNAcentral lists this ribosomal RNA (623 nucleotides) under uncultured bacterium. RNAcentral describes it as "bacterial SSU rRNA". It matches the Rfam family "Bacterial small subunit ribosomal RNA", at positions 240 to 863 of the family's 1533-position model. The record is from RNAcentral.